RNAcentral lists this ribosomal RNA (709 nucleotides) under uncultured Bacteroidales bacterium. RNAcentral describes it as "bacterial SSU rRNA". It matches the Rfam family "Bacterial small subunit ribosomal RNA", at positions 35 to 733 of the family's 1533-position model. The record is from RNAcentral. Lineage: Bacteria; Pseudomonadati; Bacteroidota; Bacteroidia; Bacteroidales.
GCUAGCUACAGGCUUAACACAUGCAAGUCGAGGGGCAGCAUGGUCUUAGCUUGCUAAGGCCGAUGGCGACCGGCGCACGGGUGAGUAACACGUAUCCAACCUGCCGUCUACUCUUGGACAGCCUUCUGAAAGGAAGAUUAAUACAAGAUGGCAUCAUGAGUCCACAUGUUCACAUGAUUAAAGGUAUUCCGGUAGACGAUGGGGAUGCGUUCCAUUAGAUAGUAGGCGGGGUAACGGCCCACCUAGUCUUCGAUGGAUAGGGGUUCUGAGAGGAAGGUCCCCCACAUUGGAACUGAGACACGGUCCAAACUCCUACGGGAGGCAGCAGUGAGGAAUAUUGGUCAAUGGGCGAGAGCCUGAACCAGCCAAGUAGCGUGAAGGAUGACUGCCCUAUGGGUUGUAAACUUCUUUUAUAAAGGAAUAAAGUCGGGUAUGUAUACCCGUUUGCAUGUACUUUAUGAAUAAGGAUCGGCUAACUCCGUGCCAGCAGCCGCGGUAAUACGGAGGAUCCGAGCGUUAUCCGGAUUUAUUGGGUUUAAAGGGAGCGUAGAUGGAUGUUUAAGUCAGUUGUGAAAGUUUGCGGCUCAACCGUAAAAUUGCAGUUGAUACUGGAUAUCUUGAGUGCCGUUGAGGCAGGCGGAAUUCGUGGUGUAGCGGUGAAAUGCUUAGACAUCACGAAGAACUCCGAUUGCGAAGGCAGCCUGCUAAG